CACAGAGUGCUACUCAGCAAGCAGUCAGAGGUGGGGUUGGCAGAUCUCGUGGCGCCCCGCUGUGGUUGCUCACAGCAAAGGAUGCCGAGGAAGAGGGACCAAGGGAGCAGGCCAAACCCAACAGAAGCUCACUGCCAAGCCUUCAGAGCUCGCAAGGAUGCUUUGCAAGAAUCUGGGGUGCAGUCUGUGAAGUGUCACUGAGUCGAGACCACUUCCUGUCCCUUCUCUAUCCAGAUGGCACAGACCUUAUGAAGGACCUGGUUCAGUACUCCCGUGCAGUUACAGAUCAUCAUCACAGCAGGACGGGUGAUGUCAGUCUCUUUGAAGAUGUCCAAGACCCUGCGUGAAGCUGAAAGGAGGCUGUGUCUGGCAGAAGACACCACACUGAAAUAGAAGAAAUAGACCCUGCCUCUCCCCCACUUCUCCUCAGGUGGGGAGAAAGUUACAGGACAGGCAGCAUCAGCAGAAUGAGCCAUCAACGGAUGCUGAUAGAGCAUUGAUCAAGGCAAUGUAGCCGAGGACAACCCAAGGCUGUGAAGCCAAGCCCACAGAACUCAGGAGCCAUUGCAUCAAAGUAAUUGCUGGGUUCACUCACCAUUCCUCAGUUCCUGAAGUGGCCACCAGGAGGCAGUGCUCCCGGGCAUCUCCCAGGCACUCUUGGACCAUCUGAUCUCUCACAUCUGAUCUCUCAGGUGCUUCUCUGGCACAUGGAAACAACUAUUGGCAAUGCACACAUGGCUGACUGGAUCUCAUGGAGGCAUUCCCACAACUGAAGCUCCUUUCUCUGUGACAACUCCAGCUUGUGUCAAGUUGACACACAAAACCAGCCAAUACAGUAGGUGACCCCAGAGCAGCUGCAUUGCUGGGCCAUGAAUAGUCACAGCUGCUUCUGAUGAAGAUGGUGAUGGCUGGUAUGCUUAGGAGACCGUUUGCAACAAGUGCCCUGAAGACACCCGGGGCUCACUCAAGAGGAGUCAAUGGACGUAGCUGCUUGUCUUGGGGUUCAGCAGCACAAUCUUUAGGGUACGUAGAGGAAGGAAUGGGAGGAGCCUGAGACCCCUAACAGUGGACCUCUGGAAUAAUCCAUCAGUCUGUUGUACUCAUCUUUGGUUUUGUGGCAAAUGUUUUAUCUCUGAGUCAUGUCUAUUUCCUACUGCGAUGGAGGAUCAGCCUCUUGGCCCUCUCUGGUGGCUGUCCUUGGCUAGCAGAGCAGCGACUGUUCAGGUGUGGUGGUGGAGGAGUGACAUCUGCAGGCCUGGGAGCUCAUCUGUUACAGUAACACUGCAGCCUGGAAAAAAGGAACUCACCCGGUGGCUAAUGAAGAAAUGCAAUGCAGACUCUCAGAACCUCGGGAACAGCCGCUAAUGACAAACUGCAGGGAGAUUCACGAUCAUGGCUGCGGUGGGGAUCUCGGUUCCGUUUCCAGGAUGAGGCAGGAAGAUUACAAAUUUGAAGACAGUUCGGACAACAGAAUGAGAGGCAUCUUGUCUCAACAGGCCAAAGAGCAAACUAAAGAAAACAAGCAAGCAAACCAACAAAAAAAGCAAAACAACAAAAAAGCAACAGCAGCCAGCGUUUAUCAUGUUACGAUUACCCUGCACUGAGCCCGCCUGUUUAGAGUAUGCAGCUUGGAUCUGGAUGUAGAACUCUCAGCUACCAUGUCUGCCUGCACGCUGCCAUGUUUCCUGCCAUGAUGACAACAGACUAAACCUCUGGAGCUGUUAGUCAGCCCCAGUUAAAUGCUUCCCUUUAUAAGAGUUGCCUUGGCCACGGUGUCUCUUGACAGCAACAGAACACAGUGACUAACACACUGGUGUAUGAGUGUUAAGAAUAAAUGUGUUUUCAUUUC
This 1849-nucleotide long non-coding RNA is filed under the name Mus musculus (house mouse). Its description in RNAcentral is "predicted gene, 36356 (Gm36356)". Lineage: Eukaryota; Metazoa; Chordata; Mammalia; Rodentia; Muridae. The record is from RNAcentral.